RNAcentral lists this ribosomal RNA (253 nucleotides) under uncultured bacterium. RNAcentral's name for it is "partial 16S ribosomal RNA". It matches the Rfam family "Bacterial small subunit ribosomal RNA", at positions 524 to 776 of the family's 1533-position model. The record is from RNAcentral.
UACAGAGGCCACAAGCGUUAGACGGAAUCACUGGGCUUAAAGCGUGUGUAGGCGGGAUGGUAAGUACCUUGUGAAAUCCCACAGCUUAACUGUGGAAAUGCUUGGUAUACUGCCGUUCUUGAGUCACCUAGGGGCAGCUGGAACAGAUGGUGGAGCGGUGAAAUGCAUAGAUAUCAUCUGGAACGCCAAUGGUGCAGACAAGCUGCUGGGGGUGUACUGACGCUGAGGCACGAAAGCCAGGGGAGCAAACAGG